UGCAAGUCGAACGGCAGCGCGGGGCAACCUGGCGGCGAGUGGCGAACGGGUGAGUAAUAUAUCGGAACGUACCCAAGAGUGGGGGAUAACGUAGCGAAAGUUACGCUAAUACCGCAUACGAUCCAAGGAUGAAAGCAGGGGACCGCAAGGCCUUGUGCUCCUGGAGCGGCCGAUAUCUGAUUAGCUAGUUGGUAGGGUAAAGGCCUACCAAGGCGACGAUCAGUAGCUGGUCUGAGAGGACGACCAGCCACACUGGAACUGAGACACGGUCCAGACUCCUACGGGAGGCAGCAGUGGGGAAUUUUGGACAAUGGGCGCAAGCCUGAUCCAGCAAUGCCGCGUGAGUGAAGAAGGCCUUCGGGUUGUAAAGCUCUUUUGUCAGGGAAGAAACGGUGGGGGCUAAUAUCCUUUGCUAAGGACGGUACCUGAAGAAUAAGCACCGGCUAACUACGUGCCAGCAGCCGCGGUAAUACGUAGGGUGCAAGCGUUAAUCGGAAUUACUGGGCGUAAAGCGUGCGCAGGCGGUUUUGUAAGUCUGUCGUGAAAGCCCCGGGCUCAACCUGGGAAUUGCGAUGGAGACUGCAAGGCUUGAAUCUGGCAGAGGGGGGUAGAAUUCCACGUGUAGCAGUGAAAUGCGUAGAGAUGUGGAGGAACACCGAUGGCGAAGGCAGCCCCCUGGGUCAAGAUUGACGCUCAUGCA
Molecule: ribosomal RNA, 700 nt
Filed under: uncultured bacterium
Lineage: Bacteria
Description: bacterial SSU rRNA
Rfam family: Bacterial small subunit ribosomal RNA
Source: RNAcentral